Nerophis lumbriciformis (worm pipefish) is the source of this 17976-nucleotide non-coding RNA. The record is from RefSeq and is a predicted model, not a curated record. NCBI's taxonomy places the organism in Eukaryota, Metazoa, Chordata, Actinopteri, Syngnathiformes, Syngnathidae.
GUGUCCUUGGGCAAGACACUUUACCCACCUUCUCCCAGUGCCACCCACACUGGUUUAAAUGUAACUUAGAUAUUGGGUUUCACUAUGUAAAAGUGCUUUGAGUCACUAGAAAAAAGCACUAUAUAAAUAUAAUUCACUUCACUUCACUUCCAUACCUUGGGCACUAACACACCCCCAUACCAUCACAGAUGUUGUUGUUUUUUUUACUUUGUACCUAGAACAAUCCGGAUGGUUCUUUUACUCUUUGUUCUGGAGGACACAACAUCCAUAGUUUCCAAAAACAAUUUGAAAUGUGGACUCGUCAGACCACAGAACACUUUUACACUUUGCAUCAGUCCAUCUUAGAUGAGCUCGGGCACAGCGAAGCCAGCAGCGUUUCUGGGUGUUGUUGAUAAAUGGCUUUUGCCUUGCAUAGUAGAGUUUUAACUUGCACUUACAGAUGUAGCGACCAACUGUAGUUACUGACAGUGGUUUUCUGAAGUGUUCCCUGAGCCCACGUGGAUCACCAUGUCGGCUCAGGAACACUUCCUUUACACACUGAUAUCGCUUUUUGAUGCGGUACCGCCUGAGGGAUCCAAGAUCAAUGGGCAUUCAAUGUUACGUGCAGUGAUUUCUCCAGAUUCUCUGAACCUUUUGAUGAUAUUACGUACCGUAGAUGGUAAAAUCCCUAAAUUCCAUGCAAUAGCUCGUUGAGAAAUGUUGUUCUUAAUCUGUUGGACAAUUUGUUUAGGCAUUUGUUCAAAAAGUGAUGACGCAUGCCCAAUCCUUGUUUGUGAAUGACUGAGCAUUUCGUGGAAGCUGCUUUUAUACCAAAUCAUGGCACCCACCUGUUACCAAUUAGCCUGUUCACCUGUGAAUGUUCCAAAUAGGUGUAACUUUUUCCGUCUUGUUUGCAACGUGUGCCAGCUUUUUUGAAACAUGUUGCAGGCAUCAAAUUCCAAAUGAGCUAAUAUUUGCAAAAAAUAACAAAGUUUGCCAGUUUUUGUUGUUGAAAGGGAUUUGCAAAUCAUUGUAUUCUGUUUUUAUUUACGAUUUACACAACGUGCCAACUUCACUGGUUUUGGGUGUUGUACUUCGUUCAUAUUAUCAUGUAUUACAUUUCUAACUGAGAUGUAUUUAGGAUAAUCCUUCUUAGCAUCAUUUUUUAAUUUACUUAAGCCAGCGACAGGAACCCCAGAGCCAGGCCCACCGCGUCGCCCGUAAGAGCCAGCAGCAGGCCGCAGACAGACGCACCCGGCAGAGGACAAAGCACGAGAAAAGCAGGGGACAGCCAGACCCCAAGCCAGCGAGAGACCACACCCCACGCAGGCAGAAAGGCGGGACGCCCCGCUCGGGGGGUCCAGAGACUCCCCGCAACCGGACAGUAAGACCGACCCCGCCCCACCGGAAACCGGGCCCCCACGAGCCCACCCCCCACCCCCGGUGAGCGCGGCGAAGCCCGCCCCCGGCCACCCCACCCAAAUCGGCCACCGCAGGACCACCCAGCACGGGGCCACGGGAACCACCCACCCCACCCGCAGGGACCCCAACGAUGGAGAUGGAACAACCGCCCUGUCGGGAGGGGAAAAUAAAAAAAUAAUAUUAAUAAAAUAAAUUUUAAAAAUAAUAAAACAAAUAAAUAGUAAUACUCGUAAUUAUCAUUAUUAUAUAUAUUAAAACAUUUUAAAAAAUACAAAAAAAAAAGAAUUAAAAGAAGAUCACGGACAUGCUGACACACAAGGUCAAUACCCAAGCAGCUGGCCGACUCGCAGCACCUCGGAAUACCUUGCAGCACCAAGCUACCACAAUAGACGCAGGGACUAGACCCAGCAGGCCCCAACCAAGACGGGCACCCGGAAGGGAUGGACGGUGGGACCCAGGAGCUCCAGACAUGCAGUCCAGAUGCAGUAGCCUGAGGCGCCGACCCCCGCCUGACAAGCAGGCCCAGAGCGUACCCCCAGAAAUAUACAUACAUACAUAUAUACAUAUACAUACACAUACAUAUGUAUGUGUACACAUACACAUAUAUUUACACACAUACAUACAUAUAUAUACACAUACAUACAUAUACACAUAUACAGUAUAUACAUACAUACAUAUAUACAUACAUAUAUACUAUACUCAUACAUGCACACACAUAUACAUACAUACACAUACACACCUACAUCGGACAAGCCAACCAACAAGACAAUAAACAAGUAAGAGGCCGGCAAGUUCGUCAGCCCCGACAACCACCACGUGCGCACGCUGCCACCAGUCACAACAUCAGCCACCCCCUGCACCAGACCCAGCAGCCACUGGCGCCCACGCCACAAACAAACGGCAGCAGAAACAGCAGCUGCAAUACCCCCAGACAGCCAGCACCACCCAAUCAAAUCAAAGCGAUCGAAAAAACUGCGACCGUCAACCACACGCCAACAGGAUCACGGAGACAAGACAGGAGGACUGGAGCCCCAUAGGAGGCAUCCUCAUUCCCCCGCCAUGCCUCCCCACAGGACAAACCCCAAAAGUCUUAUAUAUGUGUGACUGUGUGUGCUAUAAGUAGGAGGAGUAGAGAGUCUCUUGCUUCUGGACCCCCAUUCAGUUUGGUGCUCAAAGUUCCCUGAAUUUUGCCCUGUUUCCUUAGUCACGUGCUUUCUUGGCGAUUUCAGCAUUGCCUGUGUCAGCAAUGGCAUUUUGGAUUUCCUGUUGGCAAGCUUAAAGAUGUUGACUGGCAUGGUGUUGUUGCCUCUUCUAUUCAGUGAAAAGCACGCAUCAAUGGUGUUAAUAUCGACAUCAAUUCCCUUUGAUUGCAGAAAGUUGAGCAUUUGUUGCUUUGUUGAAGCAGCGUCCAUGUCGUGUGGUUCUCCUCUGUAGUCAACUGCUCUUGCAUAGGAUCGAGGAUUAAUACGUAGCCCUACAGUGAUAAUGUACAGUUUCCUCUUUGAUGUUUUCCAAAACACUGAUUUUCUCCAGAUUGGUGAUAUCUUGUUGUCUGGCAUUGAGCUGUUGUCUCAAUGCAGCCAUCUUCUCCCUGAAGUUAUUUAAAUCAGUGUUAUUUAGUUGCAUCUGUUGGCACAUGCUUCUAUCUCCAUUUUGAUGUUCUACACAACACUGCUGUGGUCCCAAUGGGUGUUGUCUUGCUGCUUGGCAUUCGACUGUUGGCACAAUGUGGCAUUCUCCUCUUUUGUUUUCUCCACCUCCUUUUUAAUGCUGUGGUGUCUUCACCGAGAAUCUUAAUUUCUUCUUUGGAUUUUCUAAAUUUCAUCAUAUCAUUAUGAGAUUAUUUUCUGUAUUUGACCAUCUGUUCUUGGAGAUCUGCAACAUCUUUUUGUACACCUGUUCCUGGAUAUUGUUGACAUUGCUUUGUGUCUCAUUUACAUUGUUUUGUAGAGUUCUUAUUAACACUUUCAAGUCCGGUUCACGUCUGGUAACGCUGUAUUGCUUUGUUUUCGUGCUCAUGGUUGUUUGGCAGCGUAGUGAAGUCGUUGGUGUUGUCAGUUUCCGCAGCAAGUGGCAGCUCUAUGGUUUUAUUUCACACACUUUUCAUUGGCCAGAACUGCAUCAGCCUUUUUUUGGAGCCUUGAAUGGGUCAAUAAUUCUGAACAACAUUGAUUUUGAUACAUAAUUAUGGUUUGAGCAUUGACCGUUUUAAAUAAAAGACAACACUUCCUGUCAAUGAGAAAGGACGCAAAAGAAAAAGGCUCCGCUUCUGCUACCGGAGUUUUGUUAAGUCUGAAGAUUUUGACCACUGAUUUGUGAUCACAGCCACAGGAGAGUCACCUGGCAUCUUCGAUCUGAUAUUGGUCAGUUGAGAGGCACAGAUACGCUGAAAUAAGGCGAGUUGGAAGAGCCGUUAGCCUCAAGCCAACGGCGCCUUGCCGCAGUUCAAAGCGGUUGCCUGGCAACCAAAAGCUACGGCGAGUUUACAGCUGUUUUAAACUGAUUCCGACGUCGCAGAGUGAUAAAAGUUGACAGGCUGACACCCAAAAUUGAUCUCUGAACGGCGCAAGGUACGAAAUUGUUGAAAAAACAAGUUAAAAGUACCGCAAGUUGCUAAAGAAGUAACUGCCGUUAAGACAUAAGAGGCACUGACGUCAUCGACUGCCGCGAUGCGAAAAGCUAAAGGAAAGACUGAACAAGAUUUGAGGCUGGACACAGGACAUGAUGGGAAUCAAGAAGGGAUACAAAAAAGUAUCCAUGAUUUUAAAGAAGAAAUGUUAGAAAAAUUGAACUACAUGAUGGAGGGAUGGAAAGAAGAAAUGAAAGAAAUGAAAGAAGAACACAGACGAGAUGUGAAAAGUCUGCAGCAAAAUAUAGAAAGUCUGCAAUCUCACAAAAACAUCAGAAAUAAUGAAGCCACUGAAAUGGGCAAACAAAUAAAGAUCCUUCAAGAAGACAACAACAUGCUGAGGAAUAUCAUAGAUGAAAUGGAUCAGGAUAAACGGAUGAAUGAUAUCAUCGUGACAGGGCACCGAAUUAAACCAAGAUCCUAUGCGAAAGCUGUGAAUAAUGAAGGUGAACCAGAUGAAAUGGAUAUGAUCUCAGCAGAACAGCAAGUGGUCAACUUUCUGCAAUCAAAAGAAAUUGAAAUUGACAUCAAUACCAUCGAAACAUGCAUCCCACUGAACGGAAGAAACAACAACGCCACUCCAGUCGUGCUCGUGAAACUUGUAAACAGAAAAUCUAAAAUGGCAUUGCUGAGACAGGGAAAGAAGCUGAAGGGAACAAAUGUGUACAUGAAUGAGCAUCUCACAAAACGUAAUGCUGGAAUCGCCAAGAAAGCACGCGACUUGAGAAAGGAGGGAAAAAUCCAGGGAAUUUGGAGCGCCAACUGUAAAAUCUACAUCAAGCUGAAUGGAGGUCCAGAAGCAAGAGAACUUGCUGUCCAUGACAUCAAGGACCUGGACAAUUUUUAAAGUUUACACAGCUUCCACAACAACGAUGAUAAUGGACUCUGACAGAAAACAAGCACCUAAAUUCAGCAUCAACACUGCUAUGUUCCAAGGGACGACUAAACAAGAGGACCUAGAUUCAGGAUUGCAUCCACCUACACUUAUAGAGAUUAUUGAAACAACAUCAAAGAUUGUUGAACAAGAAAACAUGGAACUAAAAAAUUUCUGCAACAAAGAUCACAAAAACCAGGAUUUGGAAAAUGAUAUAGAUCCAGAUACACAUUUUUUCUCCCACUUCAGUAAUUGUUUUUAUUAUACGGAUGAUCAAUAUAACAGCAACAUUAAAUGUGAUAACAAAUUGUCAAUUAUUCAUUUUAAUAGCAGAAGCUUGUAUGCAAACUACAACAAUAUUAAGAACUUUUUGGAACACAUCAAUGAACCCUUCAAAGUGAUUGCUGUCACGGAAACAUGGAUUGAUGAUAAAAAAGGAAUAGAUUUUGAUCUGGAUGGAUAUGAACUAAACUACAUCAACAGAAACAACAAAAAUGGAGGAGGAGCUGUGUACGUGAUGAAGAACCUGAACUACAAAGUGGUAAAAAACAUGUCAUUUGCUAUAGAUAAUAUCUUAGAAUGUAUAACAAUUGAAAUAUGUCAGGAAAAAAGCAAAAACAUAUUCAUCAGUUGUAUAUAUAGAUCACCUAAGUCAAGUAUAGAAACAUUUGAAGAAUGGAUCAAGGCUACUUACAUGGACAAUGGUCAAAGAAUAAUUUUCUUAUGUGGUGACUUUAAUAUUGACUUAUUGAACCCUAACAAGCAAAAGUCUAUUGACGACUUCAUUGAUACAAUGUACAGCAUCAGUUUAUAUCCUAAAAUCACAAAGCCAAGCAGAAUUACAGGACACUGUGCCACGCUUAUUGAUAAUAUUUUUACCAAUGAUUUUGAUAAUAACACUACAAGUGGUCUACUUAUAACCGAUGUUAGUGAUCAUCUGCCAGUUUUUACAAUAUAUAAUGGAAACUACAAGAAGAACAUGGAAGACAAAAGGACAUUUCGAAGACUGUGCACAGAGAAGAGGAUGAUUGCUUUCAAAAUUGAGCUACAAAAGCAGGAUUGGGACAAUGUGUACAAUGAAAAUGAGGUUGAUGAAGCAUAUGAACAUUUCUUAAACAAGUUCAUAAUACUUUAUAACAAACAUUGUCCAUGGAUACAACUCAGUAAUAAGCAGAGAAAGAAUAAUCAACCAUGGAUGACAAAAGGAUUAAAAAAUGCUUGUAAGAAGAAGAAUACACUAUAUAGGAAAUUUAUAGCACAAAGAACUACAGAGGCAGAAAUUAAGUACAAAAAGUAUAAAAACAAGUUAACAUACAUACUACGAUUAUGUAGAAAAGAAUAUUACAGUGAAUUAUUGGACAAGAACAAAACUAAUAUGAGAGCAACAUGGGGCAUCCUCAAUAGCAUUAUUAAAAAUGGCACUAAGAGGGACUACCCUCAAUACUUCUUAGACGGAAAUAAAAAAAAAUGACAACAUAAAGGAAGUAGUUGAAAGCUUCAAUAAUUAUUUUGUAAAUAUUGGACCAAAAUUGGAAGAAAGGAUUCCAGACCCAGUUUCAAUUGAGGACUAUAAUGAUACCAUAGAGCGAAAUCCCAACUCCAUGUUCCUCAGUAAUGUGACGCAGGAGGAAAUAGUUACAAUUGUGAAAAAAUGUAAAUCUAAGACUUCAACUGAUUGUAAUGAAAUUGAUAUGGAAACGAUAAAAAAGGUUAUUGAAGAGAUCUCAGGACCAUUAAUGUAUAUUAGUAACCUAUCUUUUCAAACAGGUACAUUUCCAAACAAAAUGAAAAUAGCUAAAGUUGCACCAAUUUACAAGACUGGCGACAAACAUCAAUUUACAAAUUAUAGACCUGUUUCCUUACUUCCACAAUUUUCUAAAAUCAUUGAAAAACUGUUCAAUAACAGAUUAGAGAGUUUCAUAAAUACAAAUAGAAUACUCGAAGAAAAUCAAUAUGGAUACAGAGCUAAUGUUUCAACUUCGAUGGCUUUAAUUGAAAUUACAGAAGAAAUGACCAAUGCUAUAGAUAAUAAAAAAUGUGCGGCAGCAGUUUUUAUGGAUCUAACUAAAGCAGUUGACACAAUUAAUCACAAUAUUUUAAUCAAAAAACUAGAACGAUAUGGCAUCAGAGGGUUAGUCUUAAACUGGAUAAGAAGUUAUCUAAUGAGCAGGAAACAAUACGUGAAGGUAGGCGAACACACCUCUACAACGCUAAAUAUAUCCUGUGGUGUACCGGACGGCGUGGCGCAGUGGAAGAAUGGCCGUGCGCGACCCGAGGGUCCCUGGUUCAAUCCCCACCUAGUACCAACCUCGUCAUGUCCGUUGUGUCCUGAGCAAGACACUUCACCCUUGCUCCUGAUGGGUGCUGGUUAGCGCCUUGCAUGGCAGCUCCCUCCAUCAGUGUGUGAAUGUGUGUGUGAAUGGGUAAAUGUGGAAGUAGUGUCAAAGCGCUUUGAGUACCUUGAAGGUAGAAAAGCGCUAUACAAGUACAACCCAUUUAUCAUUUAUCAUUUACCUCAGGGAUCAAUACUAGGACCUAAAUUAUUCAAUCUAUAUAUAAAUGACAUUUGUAAAGUUAUUAUUUGCGGAUGAUACAACAGCGUUUUGUUCAGGAGAGAACACACAGAAGAUACUAUAAAUAAUAACAGAAGAAAUUAACAAAUUAAAAAGAUGGUUUGACAAAAACAGACUAUCGUUGAAUCUCAGUAAAACUAAAAUAAUGCUAUUUGGUAACAGUAGAAGAGAAAGUCAAACACAAAUACAAAUAGACGGAAUAGAAAUUGAAAGAGUAAAUGAAACCAAAUUUCUUGGUAUAAUGAUUGAUGAUAAAUUGAACUGGAAAUCUCACGUAAAAAAUAUACAACAUAAAGUAGCAAGAAACACGUCAAUAAUGAAUAAAGCAAAACAUGUUCUAGACAAAAAAUCACUUCAUAUUCUCUACUGCUCACUAGUGUUACCAUAUCUGAGUUAUUGUGCAGAAAUAUGGGGAAAUAACUACAAAAGUACACUUCAUUCAUUAACGGUGUUACAAAAAAGAUCAGUUAGAAUAAUACAUAAUGUUGGAUAUAGAGAACACACAAAUCCUUUAUUUAUUGAAUCAAAGAUACUGAAAUUCUACGACAUAGUGAAUUUGCAAACAGCUAAAAUUAUACACAAAGCAAACUAUAACCUGCUACCCAAGAAUAUACAACAAUUCUUCUCAAAAAAAGAGGAGAAAUAUAAUCUUAGGGAGAAAUGUAAUUUAAAACAUUUGUAUGCACGUACAACACUUAAGACCUUCAGUAUAUCAGUAUGUGGAAUUAAAUUAUGGAAUGGAUUAAGCAAAGCAAUCAAACAAUGUACUAAUAUGAUCCACUUCAAGAAACUCUUCAAACUUAAAGUGUUUACAAAGUACAAAGAAGAAGAACCAUGAUAAACAUUCUGAAUUUAUUUAACUCAUCCAUUCUUUCAUUCUUUCACUCACAAAAUAAUCUUACUUAUCUCAACAUAUGAAAUGUAACUUACUUCACCAAUUAUCAUUUAUUUACUUAUUUUAUUGUGAUUACUUAUGGAGUAUAUUGUGAAUAAAUUGAGAACAGGAAGUGAACAAAAGUUUUAGCAACUGUUAUGUAAAAGAAAAGGGGUAGGAUUAAAUACGCUCUGCUUCUUCCUACUCCUUUUCGAACAUGUUGAAAAGAGAAACUGGAGAUUGUGAUGUAUCAUGUUGUAUACUUGCAUGUUCGAAAUAAACUCAAACUCAACUCAACUCAACAAUAUAAGACCCUUAAGAAUCCCACUCAUAAAAGUGUUCAUAGUAAUUUGUAGAAUUAAUUUUUCUUACUUUUAACGCUUAAAUCUUUAAACUUCAGAUCUGACUGUUGAUAUCACAUUUUUGUUAUUGGUUUCUGUUUUUGUAUGUUUAUUGUCCUUUUUGACCAAGAAAAUUAUUUUUGCAUGGCAUAAACCAAAAUUAUGCAAUAUUUUCCCUCCAAAAACUCAAGAGUCAAAUAUUUGAUCUGAAGUAGUUGGAGCCUUGAAUAAGUCAAUAAUUCACAACAUUAUUUUUGAUUCAUAAUGACUGUUUGAAUUAUGAAUCAAUUGUACACUGUUAAAAAGAAGAAAACAACAACAACAUUGUAAGACCUUUGGACCAUUGAGGGUCCUUCUCAUGAAAGUGUUAAAAGUAAGUCAUACAUUCAUUACUUUCUUUUACUUUGAACAUUUAAAUCUCUAGAUCAAUCUCAGAUCUAUCGGUUGAUAUUACAUUUUUGUUAAUGUUUAUGUUUUUGUAUGUUGUAUUCCCUUUUUUGCAAAAGAAAACCCCUUUUUUGUACAGCAACCCCCCCCCCCCACACACACACAAAAAUUAAAAAAAUUCAAUGCUAAAAGUUUAAUAUUUGCUGUGAAGUAAUUAGAGCCUUAAAUAGGUCAGUAAUUAACAACAACAGUGAUUUUGAUUCAUAAUAACUGUUUGAGCAGUGAUUGUUUUUAAUGAAUAACAUAGGACACUUGGAUCCUUGAGGGUCUCACUCAUAAAAGUGUUGAAAGUAAGUCACAUAUUAAUAUUAUUUUUACUUUGAACACUUGAAUCAAUCGAUCAACUUUAGAUCCAUCCGUUGAUAUUACAUUUGUGUUAUUUUUUUGUUUUUCUAUGCACUUUUUGUCAAAGAAACAUUUUUUUUUUAAUACAGCAAAAUAUACAAUGUCCUCCCCAGCCCCAACAUUUUCAAAAUGAACCAUUCAAUAUGAGGUAAUUGAAUCCAUGAAUAGGUCAAUCAUUAAUAACAUCGAUUUUGAUGUGAUUAAAAUGUAUCAAUAACAAUAUCACUAACAAUAACAGCGUAUUAAUAACAAUAACACUACAGCACAACAAUUUAUCAAUAACAAUAUCUACACAAUUCCAUUAACAAUAUCAAUGUAAAAAAAAAAUACAAUGGAACAGUAACAAUAGAACAAUACCAAUAACAACAAUAAUAAUAACAAUAAGGUAUAACACAAACUCAUUGAAAGACCACAGUCUUUUUUUGGUCACUACACAAUUUGCACUGUUUACUCCUCCAAGAGGGCCUAGGCUGGGGUUGCUGCGGCUGUUCUCCCCUCUUUUGACCUGCAGCCCCGCUUAGAGGAACAACUGGGAGGCUAACUGUAUGACAGGCAGGCGGGUCUUUGUGGCCUUUGCUGGCGCAAAGACGGCUCUGUAACAGGAAAUGUCCACCAAGAGUAUGGGGCCACUUGCGGUACCUCCUCCCGCAGGAGUAGUUGGGACAAACCUGCAAAAAAGAUUAGAUGACAUCAGAUUACAUCAUAGACAAACGUUCUUUUAUAAAAUAUAACAAACUAUAAUAAUGUUUGAAAAAAAAAAAUCGACGUCCCACUGGGGUGAGUUUUUCCUUGCCCUUAUGUGGGCUUUGUACCGAGGAUGUCGUUGUGGCUUGUGCAGCCCUUUGAGACACUUGUGAUUUAGGGCUAUAUAAAUAAAGAUUGAUUGAUUGAUUGAUAAUGUUCAUUGUCAUUUCUGUGUUAUUAAUAUUUACAAAAACAAAUAUUUACUUCACUAACUGCUACGUUUUGUAUUAUAGUUGUACAUAUCGUAUUGCUGAUGCUGUUUUGUUGUUGUUGUCUCUCUGUCUUAUCCCCCUCUCGUCCCCACAACUUCCCCCUCUGUCUUCCUUUUUGUCUCUUUCUAUCCCCUCCUGCUACGGUCCGGCUGCGCCAAACAUUAGUAUAAAUCCAUUUACUAAAGUCAAACAUAAAUAAGACAACAAGAGAAAUAUCCCACAAUUCUAUUUUGUAAAGUAAAUAUGUACAGCAAAUAUGGACAUCUACAUCAACAAUAUGAUUUGCCUAAGGAGCUGGGCAGGACAAAAAUAAAAAUAAACAAUGACAAACUCAAAAACAAAGACAAUUCUAGUUAUUUUAAAUAGUCAUAAUAAGUGACAGCAUUGUGUGCAAUACCAAAAUGUAAAUAUGAAUGCCAAAUGUGAAUUAUACCCAAAUGUAUGCAAAAUUGUGCUUACCUGGUCGAAAGUUUCUUUCCCCAGGAUCUUGAACCUCUGGUUUUAUGAGUCAGGCUGCUGCCAUGGUGGAAUGGCUGGAAACUUUGCAGCCAAAUUGCAAACUUCAAACAAGCAUUAAAAAACAAACACUCAGCCACACCACCAAUGGGAGAAGAGAAGGGCUAAUUAGACUGUCUCUUAUUGGUUGCGUGGCAAAACCUGUUUUUGUAAAGCUGCAGCAGAGUCUGGACUUGGUUGAUUUGAUCUAGUUUCAGACAUGUAUACACAAAUUAUGUUGCAGCCUUGCACAUACGACGUCUGCAGAUAAAAGCCAGACUUUUUGUAUAUAGCUCAAAUGUGUCAUUGCACGUAUUUGGAUCUUAGUAAAUCAGAUCCUUAGUGUUUGACGCAUCCAAACCGUAGCAGGAGGGGAUAGAAAGAAGAAGAUAAAAAAGAAGACGGUGGUGGAAAUUGUGGCGUAAAGAGGGGAACAAGACAGGGAGCGACCACAACAACAAAAAACAAAAUCAACAACAGACCUAAAUCAGCAAAUACAAUACCGUAUUUUUUGGAUUAUAAGUCGCAGUUUUUUUCAUAGGUUGGCCGUGGGUACGACAUAUACUCCGGAGCGACUUAUGUGUGAAAUUAUUAACACAUUACCAUAAAAUAUAAAAUAAUAUUAUUUAUCUCAUUCGCGUAAGAGACGAAGCAAAUGGCAGAAAUCGUCACACACACAUCAGCAAUCAUCACUCACACGUCAAACAAUACGAAUUUGGCGGGGGAGGGUCAUGGCAGAAGUGCAUUGUGGGUCAUGAGAUGCUAACUGCUAUGCUAUAUGCUACUGCCGUAACUAUUAAAAUGGAUCACAUCAACAUUGGCGGUAACUUAUAAAAACUGAGAAAGGCUGAACUAAAAUGGCACCGAAAAGGAAAUCAUAUACUGCAGAUUACAAGCUGGACGUAGUGAAAUAUGCUGCAGAGAACGGCGAUCGAGCAGCAAAAAGAAAGGACAUACCAGAGGUGACACCUCUGGUAUGUCAUUGGAUUUAGCGAUCGGGAGUGACAGAUUGUUUGGUAAACGUAUAGCAUGUUCUAUAUGUUAUAGUUAUUUGAAUGACUCUUGCAAUGAUGUGUUGCGUUACCAGGCACGUUCUCAGUUGGUUAUUUGUGCGUCAUAUGGCGUACACUUAUUCAGCCUGUUGUUCACUAUUCUUUAUUUAUUUUAAAUUGACUUUCAAAUGUCUAUUCUUGGUGUUGGAUAUUAUCAAAUAAAUUUCCCCCAAAAAUGCGACAUAUACUGUAUAUGUUUUUUUCCUUCUUUUUUGUGCAUUUUCGGCCGGUGCGACGUAUACUCCGGAGCGACUUAUAGUCCGAAAAAUACGGUAUAUACAAAUAUGAUACCAGAAAUGAUAAAGAAAAGCAAAUUAGUGAAGGAAAUAGUAAUAACACAGUAUUGACAAAUGAACAUUAUUGCCCUACAAUUGAAACAAUAUGUAUUAAUACCAAUAGAAAUAACAACAUUAAUAAUGAAUAACAAUAUUUACCUCUAUUAUCAAGAUUACGAUUGCUUCAAAUGCAACAAUAUUUGCUCAUAGAGCUUCUAUAUGAGUACUCCUAUUUUUUCACAUAGUCCAAAGGCCCAGGUUAAUUUGAGGCUAAAAGAAAAAAAGCUCCAUCGUUGUGCAUAGUUUUCCAUCUAAAUAUGUCAACCUGCUCUAACUGGUGAUUAGCUGUGAUCUUCUGUCAUUAGUAACCUGUAGCCCGCCUCUCACCCUAAGUCAAUGUGUUAAAUGUGUCUCAAUUGCCCAUGUAGAGUAUAAUGUGGUUCCUCUUACAACUAUACACUGGCUAUUAUUUCUGCACUCUGCUGUAGAGAACAGAGAUGGUGAUAUGUUACACAUUACUUGCGUGAGCCUACCCCCUUGCCUUCAGGUUCAUUUGGGAAAUGUUGCGGACAAUCUGUCACUGCCGCUUACUCUCUCGCCGCUGCUUGCUGUACACGCGUGAUGCACACAGUGUUUUUUCCAGUCUCACAACACUGCAGAGUGGUGAUUUGUGUGCAUUAGCAAAGAUGUAGGCAUUGAGUGUAGUGCUCGCUAACGCUUCCAGCUAAUGAUGGCGUCCAUAACACCUGUAAUUUUCCCCUUCAAUGGACGUUUUAGACACAGUUGGUGUGCAUUGUACUGACUGUAGUUUUUAAAACUUAUUUCAAUCUUGAUUGCGCUACAUCAGCUCGAUAAAAGUGGCAAAAUAUAGUACAGUGCAUGAAAACAAGGCAUAUUUUUGAUAAAGGUUUUUGCCUGUAACCAGGGCAUAUGAAAACUGAGGUACCACUGAAUUCUUUUUUUCCAAAUAGUGCCUUUUUAGAUGUCUUCUUGUGCAGCUAAUUGCAGAGGGUAAGUGUACAUGCUACAGUCAAUCAAGGCUACAACAUUGCCACAUAUAGCUCAGCAGAAAUUCUCCCCAGAACCUUUAGUCCGUUUAUAUACACAAAGUGAUUGAGCUACUCCUAAAAAAGGACAAUUAUAUUCUUCAUUAUCUACAACAAUUACGGGGGUAAUUUAAAUAAAGAACAAUUGUAUUCUUCAUUAUCUACAACAAUUACAGGGGUAAUUUAAAUAAGUCAGCUAUCUGUUGUUAACUCUCGCUCGGCAUUUGAGACCAAUGUUGUGGUCAGUAUGCCAAGAUAGUAGGGCUGCGAAUCUUUGGGUGUCCCAUGAUUUGAUUCAAUAUCGAUUCUUGGGGUCACAAUUCGAUUCAAAAUCGAUUUUUGUCGAUUCAACGCGAUUCUCAAUUCAAAAACGAUAUUUUCCCUAUUCAAAAUUAUUCUCUAUUCAUUCAAUACAUAGGAUUUCAGCAGGAUCUACCCCAGUCUGCUGACAUGCAAGCAGAGUAGUAGAUUUUUGUAAAAAGCUUUUAAUCAUUUUAAAGGACAAUGUUUUAUCAACUGAUUGCAAUAAUGUAAAUUUGUUUUAACUAUUAAAUGAACCAAAAAUAUGACUUAUUUUAUCUUUGUGAAAAUAUUGGACUCAGUGUGUUGUCAAGCUUAUGAGAUGCGAUGCAAGUGUAAGCCACUGUGACACUAUUGUUCAUUUUUGUUAUUUUUUAUAAAUGUCUUAAGAUAAUGUCAAUGGGGGAUUUUUAGUCACUGCUAUGUUGAAAUUGUAACUAAUAUUGAUACUGUUGUUGAUAAUAUUGAUUUUUGUUUCACUACUUUUGGCUUGUUCUGUGUCGUGUUUGUGUCUCCUCUCAAUUGCUCUGUUUAUUGCAGUUCUGAGUGUUGCUGGGUCGGGUUUGGUUUUGGAAUUGGAUUGCAUUGUUAUGGUAUUGCUGUGUAUUGUUUUGUUGGAUUGAUAAAUAAACAUUAAAAAAAAAAAAUUAAAAAUAAAUAAAUAAAUAAAAGAAAAAAAGAUAGAUUUAAAAAAAAUGAGAAUCGAUUCUGAAUCACACAACGUGAGAAUCGCGAUUCGAAUUUGAAUCGAUUUUUUCCCACACCCCUACAAGAUAGGCACUAUGUACGUAAAUUGCAAAAUUCUACCAAUAAUUUUAAAGUGUGGUGGUUGGACUUGAACUUGAGUACAGCAGCCAUGUUUUGAAGGAUUAGAUGCAUAUUUUGGAUUAUUAAGAAUACGUAAUGAAAUAUUUUAGUGCAAAAUAAUGAAAAAGUAAUGAAGGAAAUACUAUUAAAGGAAACACAUGUAGUGUAUUCGCUAUUUUUUUCUGGCUGGACGAGUGUCAAAAAGAGUUAUUUAUCCGUAUUUCACAUCAAGAUUGUGAUACGUACUGAGAGGUGUGCUGUAUCUGGUAAGGCAACUACGUUUGUUAUUCAGUUUCAUAUGAAGCACCCAUUUAUUAAUAGACAUUUCACAAGCUAUAGUUUCUUUUCAACAGGGAAAAGCAUUAGAAAAUGGAUAGCAGUGCAUGGUAAAAAAAAAAAAAAAACUCUUGAUGGCCAGUCCACCCCUAUAAUCUGCUCUCUUCCUGGUCCGAUAUUAUGUACUGUACUGUACUCAACCUGUAAUCUUGCAAAAGCAGUGUUUCGAAAAGAUUAUGAUCUCAUUCACCAGUUUAACAGCAACGCAGCAACUGUUAUCAAACUAUUUCUAUUUCAAAUAUCUUCUCUCUUUGCUGUGAAUAAUCGCGACCCUUUUUUGUUUCACAUCUGACAGCUCAUUGGUCAAGAUGCUCAAGAAGGCAGUGCCAGAAAGUCAAUCAAUGAGCUUGUGUUUGGUCUACUCUAAAGGGACAUACUUCAAUCUGAGCGGCAGGUUUUUGUUAUUGUGUCUGUGCAAAUAUGCUUGUUAUUUCAUAGUUUAUUUUAGAUCCAAUUAUUCAAUUAGAUCAUCUUGACUGGCUCUAUACCAAAUUGUUGUAUAGAAAAGUAAGGCAACACAAACAAUUGAAUAAGUGAGUCUCUAGCCGCCGCACGCAGCCAUCUUGACUGUAAUGAAGUCAAAAACAGAAAAUAAACCACUUUUUGUUUGUUUACAAUUUCUUCAUUGUUCUUUUUGCAAUAAAAUAUAUCCAUAGAUAGGGCCAAACUGUUGGUUAUGUGUAUAGUGUACCUAAUAUCUCAGUGCACUCUGAAAAUAAAUAUUGAGUGUUUGGUUUGCGACUUGUUGUGUUGUUUUACAGUCAAUAUGUGUCCAUGUACUAAUUUAGUCCGAUUUGUCGAAUCCGAUCGUGUUUGGUUUUUGAAAAGUCAGACUAGUACACACGGAUUAUGCGAUUGGAAACUCUCGAAGGGUUGUGUGCGGCCAAAGAGGACCCUUCGUGUCGUGCAUUCGCCAGUCUCAACGCGCGGGAUACAACCCGGAACCAGAUACCAUUCGAUAGAAACAAAGCAACAAUUGUAAUGAAGAGGAGACUGAUUAUUUGCUUCACAAAUUAAAUGAACAGAACAUUCUGAAGUGCAUCGAUGGUAGAAAAAAAGAAACAGAUAUUUAUUUAUGAAGGUAGCUAUGAAUAUGCAAAAAUGCCGGUUUAAUUCGUACUCCCAAACAAAAGACGAAUGAGAUGAAAGAUAAUGAAGCAGGUAUAUUAAAGGUGAAUAGAAAAGGGUACACAAAGUUCUUCACGCUGCAUUUAUGAAUGCCAACUGAUUAACUCUCCGCACAAAUGGCAGGAUAGUCCAGAACAAUAGCAACCUUCCUUUGGAUAUCAGAGUGGGCACAAACAGUCUUUUCAUUUGGAUUUAAAACUCCUUCCAUCAGUCCACACAGCCUUUUGAAUGAACUUUGAGACAUUUGAAAGUUUUGUUUCUAUCAUUUUCUUCCAAAAAUUCCUUUGAAAAAAGUCUUCCGCUGCCUUUCUUUGCAUUUGACCCAAUAUAUUCUUAGUAGUAGCAUCAUGCCCGUAGCACAUUUUAAGCUAAUUUCUUGAUGCUGUCUGCUAUUAAGUUUAAGUUUAGUCAUUAGAGACGUAAUAUUUGUAAUCUGUGCCAAUAUUACAGCGGACAUUAGUUAAAACAAGUUGUAAUGAUCUGCAAAUCCUAGAGCGACGUCAUCGGUCAUCCGGAAAAAUAAUUCAGUUAUCCCGCUAAAAUGAAAUCAGUGCCCCCCAGUGUACAUGAUGCACAUGGCGUAUGUCCAAUAGUCGCAUUUGAAAGUGUGCAUGGACCUUUAGACUUCACACGUAGGUGUGAAAAUGAAAAAACUGAACUUUUUGAGAAAUCAGACUAAUUUAUUGCGUGAGUGAUGCUUGAUUUGCACGAAACGUUUGCACAUCAAUAAAGAAAAGUUCUUAAGUAGUUUUGUUUAUUUACACUAACAUAGCUCUCUGGUGCCCCAAUUGUUCACAGCCCACUUUCACAAAAGUCUUCUCUUCCGUUUCAGUAAAAAAGUUAACUCAAUAACAAAUUUUUGUGAUCUUCGGUCCAUCCCCUAAUGUGAGAAAAUGCAUCUGUGCUACAGUUUAUGUUGAGGCACAAGCGGGAAUAAAUAUCUGGACAGAAAAAAGGGUACACUGAAUGGCAAGCAAAGCUUCAAAGCUGAAGGUCGCUCUCCUGUCAAAACAAAAGCCAUUUCCAUCCACUAUCAGCUUUAGCUGUAGCAAAUUCCACACGCCAGCUGAUGCAGAGAGAACCCCAGCACCUGGACAAAGGAUGACCACAACAGAAUUGUAUCCCCUGCUGCUGCAGCCUUUUGCAUCCCACCAAACACCCACAUCCACCAUCAAACAUUUCAUGAAGGUCUGAGAAGGUACCCUGCAUCGCACAUGUGGUACAUGCUCCACUGCUCGGGUCCUAAUAACAAAAAUAACAUUAAAAAAAGAGCGAGGAAAAAAACACUUAAAGUGUGGGAAAAAUGGAAAUCGCACACAAAAGGUGUGGAGAAGAACAAGUAAACACUACACUGCAGCGCCGGACAGAGCUACAGGAACAAGGAGUGUGAGUGGAGCCAGAGCACAGGAGAUGAUUACGACUGGAAGGGUGAAACCUCAGGAAUCAACUGCCACCACAUAAAUUGCCUGGAGAGCUUAAGUAGUCAGGAGGAACUGGGUAUCAGGUGUGCACAAAGGUGGCUCCGCCCCGCAGCCCGAAAGCCAGGCACUGCAACAAAAAGCAGACAGGCGGCAAUGUUUUUCAGGAUGGAGAGAGUAGAAGUCGCGCAGAAGGGAUGGAUCAAGGAUACAGGAUCUGGAGACCCAUGAGCGUUUUUAGGGACCGUACCCUUACUAAGUUGGCCAGAUACUGAACGCCUAAACCUCGCCUUCUGGAGUCUAAAAUUGCCUUCACCUUAUAAGCUGGGUGACCACCGAUCAUACGCAGAGGAGGAGGAGGCGUACAGGAGGGAACAGCGGACAGACAAGUGGUUACCGGCUUGAGGUUGGAGACGCAAACCACUGGAUGUCGCUUGAUGGAUGGAGGCAGCUGGAGUUUGACCGCCGCAAGGCUAAUGAUCCUAGUGAUCUUGAAUGGCCCCACAAACCUGGGAGAAAUCUUCCUUAAGGAGCCAGCCAAUGUGCUUGGUAUUUGAGGACUCUCCCAACGGUGUGAGGGCAGCCCUGGCAGCGGGGAUGCAGGUUGUGAUGAUUCCAGACGAGAACCUGCACCCUGGUCUGACUCAAGAUGCAACACUAUGGCUGAGGAACAUGGAGG